Molecule: ribosomal RNA, 375 nt
Filed under: uncultured bacterium
Lineage: Bacteria
Description: bacterial SSU rRNA
Rfam family: Bacterial small subunit ribosomal RNA
Source: RNAcentral
AUACGUAGGUGGCAAGCGUUAUCCGGAUUCACUGGGCGUAAAGCGCGUGCAGGCGGUUUCGUAAGUCGGACGUGAAAGCUCCUGGCUUAACUGGGAGAGGUCGUUCGAUACUGCGAGGCUUGAGGUCGGGAGAGGGACGUGGAAUUCCCGGUGUAGUGGUGGAAUGCGUAGAUAUCGGGAGGAACACCAGUGGCGAAGGCGACGUCCUGGCCCGCACCUGACGCUGAGACGCGAAAGCGUGGGUAGCGAACGGGAUUAGAUACCCCGGUAGUCCACGCCGUAAACGGUGGGUACUAGGUGUUGGUGGCUAUCGUCAUCAGUGCCGUAGCUAACGCGUUAAGUACCCCGCCUGGGGACUACGGCCGCAAGGCUAAA